This 253-nucleotide ribosomal RNA is filed under the name uncultured bacterium. Its description in RNAcentral is "partial 16S ribosomal RNA". It matches the Rfam family "Bacterial small subunit ribosomal RNA", at positions 524 to 776 of the family's 1533-position model. The record is from RNAcentral.
UACGUAGGGCGCGAGCGUUGUCCGGAUUUAUUGGGCGUAAAGAGCUCGUAGGCGGCUUGUUGCGCCAGCUGUGAAAACCCGCAGCUCAACUGUGGGCUUGCAGCUGAUACGGGCAGGCUUGAGUUCGGUAGGGGAGACUGGAAUUCCUGGUGUAGCGGUGAAAUGCGCAGAUAUCAGGAGGAACACCGGUGGCGAAGGCGGGUCUCUGGGCAUGUCCUGACGCUGAGGAGCGAAAGUGUGGGGAGCGAACAGG